Molecule: ribosomal RNA, 484 nt
Filed under: uncultured bacterium
Lineage: Bacteria
Description: partial 16S ribosomal RNA
Rfam family: Bacterial small subunit ribosomal RNA
Source: RNAcentral
AUUGAACGCUGGCGGCAGGCCUAACACAUGCAAGUCGAGCGGAUGAAGGGAGCUUGCUCCUGGAUUCAGCGGCGGACGGGCGAGUAAUGCCUAGGAAUCUGCCUGGUAGUGGGGGAUAACGUCCGGAAACGGGCGCUAAUAACGCAUACGUCCUGAGGGAGAAAGUGGGGGAUCUUCGGACCUCACGCUAUCAGAUGAGCCUAGGUCGGAUUAGCUAGUUGGUGGGGUAAAGGCCUACCAAGGCGACGAUCCGUAACUGGUCUGAGAGGAUGAUCAGUCACACUGGAACUGAGACACGGUCCAGACUCCUACGGGAGGCAGCAGUGGGGAAUAUUGGACAAUGGGCGAAAGCCUGAUCCAGCCAUGCCGCGUGUGUGAAGAAGGUCUUCGGAUUGUAAAGCACUUUAAGUUGGGAGGAAGGGCAGUAAGUUAAUACCUUGCUGUUUUGACGUUACCAACAGAAUAAGCACCGGCUAACUUCGUG